Molecule: ribosomal RNA, 1046 nt
Filed under: Staphylococcus aureus
Lineage: Bacteria; Bacillati; Bacillota; Bacilli; Caryophanales; Staphylococcaceae
Description: partial 23S ribosomal RNA
Rfam family: Bacterial large subunit ribosomal RNA
Source: RNAcentral
CCUGAGUACGACGGAGCACGUGAAAUUCCGUCGGAAUCUGGGAGGACCAUCUCCUAAGGCUAAAUACUCUCUAGUGACCGAUAGUGAACCAGUACCGUGAGGGAAAGGUGAAAAGCACCCCGGAAGGGGAGUGAAAUAGAACCUGAAACCGUGUGCUUACAAGUAGUCAGAGCCCGUUAAUGGGUGAUGGCGUGCCUUUUGUAGAAUGAACCGGCGAGUUACGAUUUGAUGCAAGGUUAAGCAGUAAAUGUGGAGCCGUAGCGAAAGCGAGUCUGAAUAGGGCGUUUAGUAUUUGGUCGUAGACCCGAAACCAGGUGAUCUACCCUUGGUCAGGUUGAAGUUCAGGUAACACUGAAUGGAGGACCGAACCGACUUACGUUGAAAAGUGAGCGGAUGAACUGAGGGUAGCGGAGAAAUUCCAAUCGAACCUGGAGAUAGCUGGUUCUCUCCGAAAUAGCUUUAGGGCUAGCCUCAAGUGAUGAUUAUUGGAGGUAGAGCACUGUUUGGACGAGGGGCCCCUCUCGGGUUACCGAAUUCAGACAAACUCCGAAUGCCAAUUAAUUUAACUUGGGAGUCAGAACAUGGGUGAUAAGGUCCGUGUUCGAAAGGGAAACAGCCCAGACCACCAGCUAAGGUCCCAAAAUAUAUGUUAAGUGGAAAAGGAUGUGGCGUUGCCCAGACAACUAGGAUGUUGGCUUAGAAGCAGCCAUCAUUUAAAGAGUGCGUAAUAGCUCACUAGUCGAGUGACACUGCGCCGAAAAUGUACCGGGGCUAAACAUAUUACCGAAGCUGUGGAUUGUCCUUUGGACAAUGGUAGGAGAGCGUUCUAAGGGCGUUGAAGCAUGAUCGUAAGGACAUGUGGAGCGCUUAGAAGUGAGAAUGCCGGUGUGAGUAGCGAAAGACGGGUGAGAAUCCCGUCCACCGAUUGACUAAGGUUUCCAGAGGAAGGCUCGUCCGCUCUGGGUUAGUCGGGUCCUAAGCUGAGGCCGACAGGCGUAGGCGAUGGAUAACAGGUUGAUAUUCCUGUACCACCUAUAAUCGUUUUA